Molecule: long non-coding RNA, 11866 nt
Filed under: Marmota monax (woodchuck)
Lineage: Eukaryota; Metazoa; Chordata; Mammalia; Rodentia; Sciuridae
Source: RNAcentral
UGCCUGAUGACUCCCCAGUUAGGACUUAAGGCACUACAUGCUGUUCCCCGAUCCAGCCGGGCUCCUGGAAACUUUCCUACUUGCCCACCAGGUUUGGAUGCUCUGUUGAGAUCAGUGGGGGUGGGGCCGGGGUGGGCGUUGGCCCAAGGGGGACAUCCAUGCAGCUACCCAGACUGGCUGUCUCUGAGGCCUGAGCUCAGGUCACCAUGUUGUCCACCAGGCCCUGCUCUGCCUCUGGGGAUCCUGGUGUGGUGGUGUCUGUUGACCUGCAGUGUUAUGCCAGGGGACAGGAGUCGGGUGUGGGGGGUGUGGGGGGUGGGGGACACUGUGCAGACCUUCACAUCUUCAGUCCCCUAAGCAAACAGGUGAGCCCUUUUUGCUCUGCGUGUCUUCCUGAAGAUGCAGUAUCUUUCUUUCUCUUUCUUUGCUUCCUCAAUGCAAAUAUCAUUAGUAUCCAUGGGCCUAAAUGAAACCAGGCUCGUAUGUGUGUGUGUGUGUGUGUGUGUGUGUGCUGUGUGUUUCUUGUCAAGAUCAGGAAAUGAUUCCAAAGUGGACAUUCCCACCAGGCUCUGUGGACUGUGGGUGGUUUGGUGUGGGUGUGCUGUGGCCAGCACAGGUCUGUCUGUUCUUGGAAUCUGAUGUUUGCAAAAGUCCCAGAGGACUGGUUUCAGAAUAAUCCUCUGUCCUUCACACCUCCUGGGGAGAAGACACCUGAGGGGAUUGUCCCUUUCCCUCAGCUCAAGUCACCUGAACAUGUAUCACUGCCUUCCCUUUGAUGACCUAUGACCCCGGCACCUGUGGAGUCUGUCAGUCUGGGGUGGGCUGGGUACCUGGAGGAGGCAGAGGUAAGGUCACUACCCAAGGAGCAGGUCCAGAUGUGUCUUCCUUUGGAGGCAAAUGGUGUCAACAAGUGGGCCCGCAGGCACUGGAGCUCACCAUCUGGGAGCAGAGGGCUGGGAACUUCCUGUGUCCUGGGCAUUUGAGGACGGGGACAGUUGGUGGGUGAACAGCAGGUGAGGCACACCUGUGUGUGUCAGGCAGCAGACAGAGGUAUGGGAAGAUUUCUGAAGCGACAUGUAGGCAGAGAUGCCUCGGGGUUCAGGGAAGUACCUGGGAUGUAAGGUACCCAGGGCCGACCAUGGUGGGAGCUGUCACUGUGCUCAGGACCCGGGGCACAGGGGAGCAGAGCGGCCGGAGCUGAGUGCAGAGCACAGGCUGAUGGAGGGAGGCUGAUCGGAGAACCCGCAGCUCCCAGGGACAUCACCACACAAGGAGAGCGGACGAUCCUGGCACCUCCUCUCCUCCUCCUCUGUCCCGACUCCUGCCGGUGCCGCUGCCCACCCGCGAGAGUCCCGCGAGAGCUGGAAGGGGACGGCCUGGGGCUGUGUUCCAGGAACAGGGCCAGGACAGGAGUUAGGUGACUGGGUUCUAGCUCCGCCUCUGCCACUCAUUUCUCCUGGGAUGUGUGACAGGUCUCUUUGCCAUGUUGGGUCUGGGUUCCUCCUCUGGGAAAGUCACACCCUGGAUGAAACUGUGUGUCUCAAGCUUGCUACAGGCAUUGCUCGGGGACUCAGGAAGACCGAGGAGGCACACACUGCAGCUCAAGGCCAGCCCUCCCCUGGGGCAGGAGUGGCACCCCAGCCAGUGGGAGCUGCUUCUGGGCCUCAGGGCUUCAUCCUGUGGCUGCUGCAAAGCGCACUUGAAGUCGUCCCUGGGCAGCUGGGGAGGGGGCUUGCCUGUGGGUCCAUCCUAGGAGGCUUGGGCACGGUGGGACCACUCUGAUGGACUCUCUUGAGCCUCAGAGGGCACAUGACACUGACUCCACUCAUAAUGGGGGUGCAAAGUCUCAUUAGGAAAAUUCUUCACCAGAGUUUUUAAAUCCACAGUUUGAAGAAGCAUGUGGGUAAGGACAGAGAAUGUGGAUUUGACAAAGAACCCACUGUGGUGGUCGUGGGGGUGAUGAGCAAAUGAUUAAUUACUGGAAGAAACAACACCGAUUCUGCACAUGUGCUUCUAAAAAAAAUAAUGAAAAUGGGGUAUUUUCCAGUCCAUUGGGUGAAGCCAGCAAUACGUUGAUACAUAAACCAGACAGACAAUCACCAGAAAAGAAGACUGCGGACCUUGUGAACCUCCACGCAAGAAUUCUUAACAUUUUUUUAUUAAGCAAAUGGAAUCCAACAAUACAUAGAGCAGAUAUGCUUUUGAAAGUCUGUUGAAAUCCAAAACCCGUUUGUGAUAAAAGGUCUCCGGGAACUAGGAAUAGAAAGGAAUGUCCUCAACUUGACAAAAAAAAAAAAGCAUCUACAGGAAACCCACAGCCAACAUCACACAAAUGGUGAAAGACUGAGUCCCCCCCCCCAAUCAUAAAUAAAAGAACAAAUGAACCCCCAAAGAAUGUGCGGAAGAUUUGAACAGACAUUUCACCGAAGAAGAUACAGAGCUGGACCUCACGGGUCGUUAGGGAAACCCACAUUCCAACACUGGAUGCCACUAUCCACCCCUUAGGACAGCUCUUUCUUGAGGUUUGCAGGACCUUAUUUUUAAACUCUGCUUCCCCCAGGUGAUUGGCUGCCUCUACUGUAACCCAGGAGGCCCACGCCCGCUCCCAACCCCUGCCCUGCGGAGGGACUCUCCUCCUGCCCUGUGUAGACCUGCACCAUUCUUAACUUUUUUCCUUUGGCAUCUUGUAGGAGCAAAAAAAGAACUUUCGCUGAGUAUAAAUAGCAUCACUUGGUGACAGGAGCAGGUGUGUGGUGGUAGAAAGAGAGCAGAGGUUGUUGGGAUUCAGGGUUCCUGCGCCACCUCCCUGUGUUAUCCUCCGGGAUCUCAACUUCCACCCCGACUUCUUCUCCCCGGAUGGGCCCGUCCCAACAUCUCCUGCACCCACCUGCUGUCCCAGCCUCCCCGGGGCCUCUCUGGCUCUUCCUUCCUCCCAAAUCCACAUCUAGUUCUUUCCCAGGUGUGCGCAUGCAGGUGUCCCCACCUCGGACCCAAUGCCAGCCACGGCCUGGGCAUCUCCCCCCAUCGGGAGGCACCCACUUUCUUGCAGUAAGGCUUCCGGGCUGCCCUUCUGCCCCCCAUCACUAAUCCACAGGCUGUGCACGCGGUCCCGAGGCAGCCUGGGUACCUCAUGGUCUGGGUCACCUAGACUUUAGAAAAAGAGAGUGAGAUCUCAGGCAGAGCUGGAAGCUGGGUGGACACUGUGGUCCUUGUUAAAAUGACUUAUUGCAAAAAUUUUAAACUUACACAAGAGCAAGGGAGAGCAGGAUCUGUCACGCAGCCUACGUCACGUCACACAGCUUCCACAAUUACCUUCUCAUGGCCAGCCCCCCACCCCAACCCCCAUUGGGUUAAUUUACCCACACCUACUUCCACAAAUGUCUUGGAAAGAUAGGGCUCUCUUAAAAAAACGCACAAGGCUGUUAUGAUCAGACCUACACACAUGAACAAGUCCUUAAUGCCACUUAAUAUCCAUCAGAUGAAAUCUUUCCUAUUGUCCCAUAAAUGCCUUUCUACAACCGUUUAUGCAAAUCAGGAUCCACCAGACAAGUUCUUUAAUUUAUCCCAGCCUCCCCUGUCUCUGUUUAUUUAAAAAAAGGCCAUGUACAGAAGGGCACGGUGGCACAAGCCUGUCAUCCCAGCUGCUGAGAAGACUGAGGCAGGAGAAUGGCUAGUUUGAGACAAGCCUGGGCAGAUUAAUAAAACCCUGUCUAACAAUAAAAUAAGAAGGGCUGAGGGUGUAGCUCCCAGGUAGAAUGCUCACCUAGCAUGCAUGAGCCCUGGGCUCUAUCCCCAGCACGAGACAGAGAGAAAGAGAGAGAGAGAGAGAUUCAGUAAACACGGAUGGAUAAGGCUGAAGCCCAUGUAGCAUGGCAUGCUACACAGGAAACUUUUAUAGUCAUCUACUGUCACUAUUAAGUAUGUACUGUGAUUUUAUGUGCUGUACUUUGAUGUGUCUGGUAGUAGAGUGAGUUUGUUUACAGCAGCAUCACCCUAUGUGGGUGAGUGACAUCAUGACAACGACACCCCAGAACUAGGCAAGGAACUUUGUCGGCUCCAUGACAAUCUUAUGGGACCAGUAGGGGUUGACUACCAUCGGCCAUCAGCACAUAUUCAGUCCCUUGCUGACCAAGAUGUCCAUGCAUGGUGUGUGACUGUAAUCUUUCAGAAGUGACACCACAUGCUUCCUGUUGCAUCUUAUCAGGAGGCAUGCGACCUCUGAUCCUUUCUGUGAAUUUACAAGAAAUCAGUCCUCUUGGGUGCUGUUGGUUUGACGUGUCCUUUAUAGGUUUCCCACAAACCUUUCCCCUCACGGUGUUGGCAGCCGUCAACAGACCAUCAUUUCACCAGGACCUGCAGAGUGGUGACACACCCUCUUAUCCUGUCCUCGUUUUCCAGGUGCAACUCCCCCAGAUCACUCUUUACCCUCAUUACUUAUUUCCUUAGAAUGAGGUUUGUGCAGGAAAGGCAGAAGAAAUACUUGAUCCUUUCUCUUUAAAAAUAAUUAAUUUUUUGAAAGUUUUCAAAAGAAUGUGUUGGUUCCCUGGCAACUUCCAAAGGUGACACAUGAGUUUUUAAAAAUAAAAACUCAACAUUUGGCUGGUUUCCUGCCAUGUUGGCCAUUGCGAGUGUUAUUAUUACCACUAUUCUUAAGCUGCAGAGCUGGGGAUAGAACCCAGGGCUUCACGCCUGCCAGCCCUGUGCUCUGCCACUGAGCUUCACCAAUUGUCCCAUCACUAACCCAAAGGAACCUUGUUGAUGUGGCCCCUUCUUGUACGAUUUUGGAAAUUUGGGGACAACUUCCUUGCUUUUUGGCAUAAGAGACGUCCAAACCACCUUACAUUUUUCCUUACCCCAGCCCUGGGACCAUCCAUAUCUCCAGGACACCCGGGGUCCUUGGAGACCCCUAUCUGGAACUAGGUUUAUUGCUUUGGAGAUGGGGUUGUGAACAGGGCUUAUCAGCAAAUGGAUGGAGGUGAUAUCUGUUUUCUUUUUGAUAGAGAAAACGCAUCAUGAGUUCACACAGAUAUUUCCAAUACAAGUGUAUGAUUACAGGGUUUUUGAAAAAUAUAUUUUAGUUUUUGAUAGACCUUUAUUUAUUUAGACAUGGUUCUGAGAAUCGAACCCAGUGCCUCACACGUGCCAGGCAAUUGUGCUACCACUGAGCCCCAGCCCCAGCCCUGAUUACAGGGUUUUAAGCUGUGCUUACUUAUCUUAUAAUUGCAUCUCUUUUCUACUAUGCUGGAAAUUUGUAAUUACAUUAACAUCAUUUCUUAUCUAUAAAGCAGCAGGCUUUAUAGAUAAGGCUGAGGAGCACGGAAGGGUGUGGGGACUCUAUGUGACCCUGAGGAUGGAUGUAUGCCAUGUGAGUGUAGGUGACAGAGUAUGUGUGUGUCUAUGUGACAGUCACAUGUAUGCAUGAGUAUAUAAACACCAAACUUUUUUUCUUAGGAGAGAAUCUAUAUAUUCUUAAUAUUAUCAAAAGGGUUUUCAACCUUGGCACCACUGACAUUUUGGUUUAGAUAAUUCUCAGUGUUGGGACAUGUCCUGUGCCCUGUAGGAUAUUCUGCAGCAUCCCUGGCCUCAGGCCCUGGACUCCCAUAGCACCUUUUCAAUGGGAGGGUCAAAAAUGUCUCCAGACAUUGCCAAAUUUCCUCUGGUUAGGGUCCACUGGUCUAGGACACCAAGAAGAUCCUGCAUCCAUCUGACAGGAUGGAAUUUCUAUAGCAUUCCUACAGUUAUGGGGAAUUGCUUUGGGAAAUGUGUAGGACUACAGUAGUUGCAUUAAUUUGCUAGGGCUGACAUGGGCCACCCACUGGGUGGCUAACCCAGUUGCUAAUGCGUUACUUCCUCACAGUCCUGGAGAUCCAGGUCCUGGCAGGGCUGGUCUCUUUGGAAGGCUGUGAGGGAGAAUCUGCUCUAAGCCUCUCUCCCGCUUCUGGUAGGUGGCUGGCUCUUUCUGGCGUCCCUUGGUUGUAGAAGUGUCAUCCUGAGCUCGCCUUUCGUCACACAUAUGCGCCUGUGUCCAAAUUUCCCUUUUGUAAGGAUGCCAGGCACACUGGAUUAGAGCCUGCCCUGGUGACCUCAUUGGUAAAAACCUAUUUCCAAAUAAGGGGAAAUUUGGAGGUUCCAGGGUUUAGGACUUCAGUGUAUCUUUUUGAGGGGAACACGAUGCCACCCAUAUCAUCGAUGAUACUGCUGUCCCCAGAAGCAGGUGGCAUAGUGCAGUGGCUGAGUCGGGACACUUGGAGCCACACUUCCAGGGUAUUGCUUGCAUGUUUGCUGUUUCUUCUCUGUGUCUGAGACAAUGUCUGCAGCCGCUCCCGGGAUGUCUGGGAAGAAGAAAUGAGUCAACAUUUGGGAAGCCCUGGGCCUGUGGCUGACACGGGUACGUGCUGUGUGAGGGUUACGUGGUGAACACCACAGCGGUCAUUUUGGUGGCAGCCCAGGUUGCCGAGAGCGUUAGCACAUGGGGUGCAGUGAAUCCCCCCAGUCAGGAGCCUGCUCAUCUUGUCCACGUUGCAGAGCAAGCCCACCUAGGGAGGAGCACCAAGGGGCACUUGCAGUUAGUAAUUGCCUUUUAGGUGCCAGACACCGGGGCAGAACUCCACAGGACUCCUUGGUGUCCAUUACCGCCCUGCAAAAGGGAUCUUGCUAUCUCCAUCUUCCUAAGGAGGAAUGUAAGGUGUGCAGGCCUGGACAGACUGACCGUUCCUCUCGGAGCCCAGACUUUCUCUUCUUCCUCUCCACUCCUCUCUCACCUCCUGCCCAUGAAGAGCAAAGAGGUCCCUUCCCUUCCUACUCUUUUCCCCUUCCACAGCCUUGCCUGGUGGGCGGAGCCUGGGCUGGGCAUGAAGAGGCUGCUGGCCUCCUCCCACUCAGCCUCCACGAGCCAGGCUGUGGAAUGGGGCCAAGGCACCAGUGCCCACCCUAAGUGCAAAGACGCUAUGACCAUUCCGGGAAUCCCAGCCAGAGCUAAGGACGGGAAGGCACUUUGUGAGGUGUCUGCGACCUGCCCAGCUUUUCAGAGAAGAGCCCCGGGUCACCUUCUCUUCUUCAAAUUGGCAGAUGGACUCUGGUCUCAAGGUCAACAAGUCUCCGACAACAGAGCUGCAGCCACACAAUGUUUCUUCUUUUAAAAAAAUCCUCAAUGUCAGGUGCAAAGUCCGUUAACUUGGGUGCCUAUUUGCAAGAUUGGAUUCUCUAUCUCGGUUUAAAUUCAGCUACUUAUGGAAACAUGGCGGAGUCCACCACGGUGUGAUGGGCUGCAAAGGGGGGAAAAUGGAUGGAGGGCUGGGCGGGGCUCAGCUCUGUCCCCAAGUUGUCUAAUGGCAGCAGAGUCAAGUCCCAGGCCCUCUUGCUCCUGGCUCUCAGCUCUGUGCUCUGGUCACACCAGCCAUGCACCUCUCAGCCCCUCAGUCUCUGGUUCUUUGUGCCUUGGGCUUUCCUCACGCUGUCCCCAGGUUGGACAGUCCUCCUUCUUUCUGACUAGCUGUCUGCCACUCUUCACACAGCAGCUCAGAGUCACUGCCGACCCCAGGGGAGAGGCUGCAAGGACACUGCCUAUGGACCUCCUCUCACCCCCCUUGCUGUGUAUCCCUUCACCCUGGUUUGUGGGAUGGAUCCAUUAAUGUCUGCUACCUGCUCUGGGGGGUCAGAGACCAGGUGGGGCUUCCCUCUCGACCCCAGAGCCCGGGACAGGGCUGGGAACGCGGACUGCUUGCUUAACAUCUGCUCAGUUGACAGAGAGCUACUGCCUCUAUAAAGGGAGGGGGGUGGCCUUGUGUUCCCCUGGUGCCAACAGCCUGUGCCAGGUCACAGGUGUGGGUCUACAAGCCAACAGUAAUAAUAGCUGACACUUAAGGAGCCCUGCUAGGUGCCUGACGCUGCUGUAAGUGCUUUAUUUGCAUCUACUAAACUUUAUGUUCUCCCCAAUAACCCACAAGACAGAUGCCAUCAUUAAUCCUGCUACUUUUAAAUUUUUAAUUAAAAUAAUUUCAGACUUGAAAGAAUGUUGCAAAAAUUAUUCAAAGGGUCUGCCUAUCCUUUCACCCAUCACUCUGAUGGGUGAACGUCUUGCAUACCACCACGCCACCUUUAAACCCAGGUCCUUGACCCUGAUACAACCCAUUCACAAAUCCUCAGGACUUGUUUAAAUUUUCCAGUUUUUCCCAUUCACGCCCUUUUGUGGGUCCAGGCUCCAAUGCAGGACCCCACUCAGCACAUGGUAUGUCCUGUCUCCUUAGAGCCUCUAACGCAGGACCAUCUCUUCAUCCUUCCUUGUCUUUCGCCACCUUGACACUUUUGAAGCGUCUCUGGCAGAUACUCUCCCUGUGCACUGGACUUGUGUCGCCUUAUGUUCAAAUUCAGAUUCUGAAUUUUUAUUAAGAAAGUCCCAGAAGAGAGGCCGAGCCUGCUGUGUGCGUCGGAUCAGGAGGUCGAUGUUGCAUGAAGGCUGAUUUCAAGAUUCGUCAACUUACAGGGAAGAGUUGAGAAGCUCAGUUAAAAUGCAGCCAAGAGACUUAGAAUGUGUGGGUGCUGCAGGCAGGGGCAACAGGGGAAGGGGGGAUAUGAGAACAUUACGUAUCUGGGGCACAGUGACUGGUCCCCAGCCCUGCAGUCAGCCAGGAAAGGAAAAGGGAGAGGACAGAGGGUGGUAGAGAGGGGCAGCCAGGGCAAAGGGCAGAGAUGGCCUCUGUGGUCACAGGGCGGGGGCCGGGGCACCCAGGCACAUAGGGCCGUGCUCAGGAUAGGGCCCUGGCCAGACUAAACAAGACCACAGCCAGGCUCUGGCUUGGGUGAAACUUCGUCCCCAAGGCUGAAGUCGGUGAUACUGGUGGUUGUCUGGGGCUUGGCCUCAGGCUGGGCCUGCUUGGGGGUCACAUGCAGGAGAGUCCAGGCCUGGCUAGGUGCCAGUGCCUGAGUGAGACCCAAGUGGCCUCUCCGAGCCCUCCGUAUUCGGCUCUACUCAUGAGGGGAGGGGGAAUGCUGGGGUGAGCCUGGGCCCUCAUUGGGACCCCUUGAGGGCUCCCCUCACCGGAGCUGCUCAUGGGUGGAGGGGGCGAGGGACGGCACCAGGUGCCUGCAUCAGGGCCGUGUGCAUAUUUAGUGCAGCCCCUCCCCUUUCAUACUGGGGUCCACUGGGGUCCCUGGCUCUGUCCAGCUCCCUCUCUGACCUGUCUUCUCCUUCUCCCUCUCCCUCUCUCUUCCCUGGGACUCUCUCUCUUUCUCUCUAGAGGAGGAAGGAGACAGAGACAGCCCCUGCAGGCCCCGCUUGCUGUCCUCCCCGCUCUGUGCAUCCUGCCCAGCCCAUCUGCCCUCCUUCCUUGUCCCCUCCCAGCAGGACUGGCGGCCCCCAUCCAGCCAGGUCGGCCCUUCCUGCGCCGCAGGUGCUGGGGCACAAGCCACCCCUGCUUCCCUUCCUCUCCGGGCAGCAGGCCCGCUGUGCCCAGGCGCGGUGACGGAUGGAGAGGAUUUAACCCCUGGACUCCUCACGGUCAUGGGCAGGGCCAGUCAAUCAGCCCCCUGUAUGGAUGAGAAUCCCCCCUCUCUGCCGCUUUCCGGUCCCCCUUGGGUCUCCAGGACUCACAGUCCCAUCUGUGGCUGUCACCCAAGCCCGGUUCCCUGCCCAGGCCUCCCUUCUCAUCCCACCUUGGCUUCUUCUCUAAAUCCCACCACGAGGGGCUCCGGCUUAAUCUGCACUGUGUAUGCUUCUCUCUGAUUUUGCAGGCUGUUUAUUUGCCGGUCACCCAUGUGGGACAUGUGGGACGGGGUGUGACCCACACGAAGAGCCAAAGCUUCACUUGACCUGGGAGUGAGUCAGACUGGCCCAUGACCUCCUUCAGCACUAGCAUCGCCCACCUGAUUCCUCCUCUUCCUGGCACCUUAAACUUCAAAUUGUACAUUUAUCCUUGGGGACCUGCCCACCGUGGUGGCCUGUCUAGGUUACAGAUGCCCAGUCUGUCACCUGGGGUCCUGGCAUUCCCUCCCUGCCCCAAGCCCCUGAGUAUGUGUGGGCUUCACCUCCCCCACCCAGACUGAGCCAGGGCCCUGGGGCAGUGAGGGAGAGGGCAGGGCCAGGUGGACCCUUCUCCAGGUGCAGACAGCCCUAUGUCAGCACCUCUGGGUGGGGCUGUCCCCCACCCGGCUGACGUUGGUGCCAUCUUUGUGUGCACGGGCUUUGGGAAGAAUCCUCUGGCUGAUGGGAGGCAGAGUGAGCGCCUCGAAGCUUCCUCAGCACUCUGUCAUUGCAAGGGCGUGUCCUCUGCAACUCCUCACAUUGGUGCCUCUGUUCUCCCUGUCCCAUCUUUGUCCCUCCUCUGUCGGGCCAUCUUGUGUCUUCCCUGGCCCUGUGCAUACUGACCUUUCCCACUUCUCAUUCACCUCUCUGGUCACCUGUGCCCAUCUGCCCUGCACAGAUCCUGGCUUUCAAGGGCUCACACUGUAGCCGACUUCUGUCGGCUGUGACCUCGCUGAUGUCGCUCCCCUGCGGGUUGGACAGUGGGGACUGACUGCCUGGCCUCAGGGCUUGCUCUCACAGGCCCAUGUCUCCUUGCUUCUUGCUCCUGAGGCUGGGACAACGACUUGCCAUAUUUCUAUGCUCUACCUGUGAUGUCCAGCCACAGCCUUUGCAGGGCUUUCUCUGCAGGGCUCCUCAGUACUACGCCCAGGGACGGAUCCCAGACAACGGAAGAACAGAAUAAGGAGGCCCUCAGUCCCUGACCAGCCUCCACCCGAGGGGUGGGGAGCAUUUGCCCUAGAUGCAAGGCCUCUGUGAGUUUCGCAUAUAAUUGAUGGCCUUCCACGUCCAGCCAUGCAUCGCUUAUCAACGGGGACAUUCUGAGAAAUGCGUCCACAGCCUGGACAUCACAGAGUGCACCUAGACGGCAGGGCCUGCCAAUCCCCUCGGCUAUACGGUAGACACAAUUGCUAAUGUCCUCUGCGAUCAGCUUGUCCAGUCUCCAAAAAUUCAUCUGCCCUCACAUCAGGACUCGUGGACUUGGAGUUGACAUUCAUAUCAUGCGACGAAUAACGACUCUUGAAUCACUCCAACCGCCCAGAGCUGGCAGUCAACAUUGCAAACAAACGUUUGGCUUUAGCCAUGACCACCGUGUGCCGAGAGGGACGCGCUCCUGAGUCAUGUUCUCCGUCCUGGUCAGCAGCAGUUUCUCUGCAUCGGAUCUGAAUUUUUUUGCCCAUUUCGUGGCCUCAAGGAAGCAGAGACUUGAACAGCUUCCAUCACUUGCUCUUGCCUCAAGACUGCAGAGACGGUGGAGAGGGACAGGCCUGCGUGGCCAGCGAUGACCAGCGCUGAUUGCCACCUUCCUAGUCCCUAAUCACUUUGACCUCGGUUUCCAGGUCCAUCACUUGACCAGCAGUGGGUCUCACACGCUCAGAGGCUAGGAUGAGCAGAGCAACCUGAGACUGACAGAGCCGAGAGAAAAUGUUGCCAUCAGGAGCCGGUAAAUGAGAGAUGUGUGACACUGCGGCCGGCCACCGUCACGUGGGGUCCCUCGCUACGGAAGCAUCGCUGUGUGGCUCGUGCCUACGCUCUUUUUACUCUGGGAGGAGAUGAGAUCCCCCUCGUGAAGCACUUGCAGCCCUCCUGGGUGUGGCGAGCCCUCAACAGAUGCUCCCCAUUGCUGUUACCAUCACAGCUUCCUGAGAGGUUGGACCACACAAAACUGCCAUCUUUGGAGGUCAGAAGUGGUCAAAUGCUGGUGGAUCCAUACAGCUCAGCACAGUACUUACCCCGCAAAAUUGUUCUGCUUUGUUCAUUAAAUCAAUGGGUUUUCUUUCUUUCUUUUUUCUUUCUCUUUCCCUCCCUCCCUCCUUCCUUCCCUCCCUCCUUCCCUCCUUCCUUCCC